UCCCUGGUGGUUCAGUGCCUAAGACUCUGCACUCCCAAUGCAGGGAGCCAGGGUUCAAUCCCUUGUCAGGGAA
This is a non-coding RNA of Bos taurus (domestic cattle), 73 nucleotides long. The record is from Rfam. Lineage: Eukaryota; Metazoa; Chordata; Mammalia; Artiodactyla; Bovidae.